This 772-nucleotide unclassified non-coding RNA is filed under the name Hevea brasiliensis (rubber tree). Lineage: Eukaryota; Viridiplantae; Streptophyta; Magnoliopsida; Malpighiales; Euphorbiaceae. The record is from RNAcentral.
GGGAUGGGGGGAGGGGGGAGUGCAGAAAUAUUUUUAAGCUAAGAAACGCAAACACUAAUAUAACGACAAAUUUGCUUAGAGUAACACAGCUAAAUUGUUGUAGUUUCAAACCUCAAAAGUAGACUACCAAAAACAAAUACAAAUUGAGCUUAGCAGAUCCAAAUAGUAAAGUAUGGCAGCAGCUUUACAUGAAAAAACACUCAGGUCUUCAUUAGUGUCACAGCAUCUUGAAUGCCGAAUCCUACAAAAGAAUUAGUAACAACAAUAUACGACACCAAGCUCAACACGAUGCAUUUUACAUUGUACCUUUCCCCUUUUGCUUCUUCGUGUGAGAGCAUAAUCCAAGACUACUGAAGAGGGAUUAGAAGAGAGAUUUGUACUACUCUCACCUGACAAUGUUUAGCUUCUCUAACCUGACAUCAUGACAUUAUCGAUCGACUGGAGUGCUUGAUUGGCAUAAAAGCGAACAUCGACAUCAGGGUCUUCGGCUAGCUCUACUAAACUGGGCCGAAUGGUUUUCUCCACCACCGAGUUGUCAACAAUAGGUACAAGGGAUUGCAACACCUUUGCCACAUUAAAUUUAAUGUUGGGCACUCUAUCCUUUGUAGCAGUAACAACCACAGGUAGCAACUUAGAACAAGUUAUCUCAGAGCCCAUUACUGGUGCAAGCAAUGAAAUUGAUCUAAGAAUAGUCAUUCGAUACAAAUAAUGUGGACUGGUAGUCAUAUCCAAGACCUGAGGAAUUAUAUGCUGCAUUGCCCACUCUGGACCA